GCUGGGCGUGGUGGCUCACGCCUGUAAUCUCAGCACUUUGAGAGGCAGAGACGGGCGGAUCACUUGAGGUCAGGAGUUCGAGACCAGCCUGACCAACAUGGUGAAACCCUGUCUCUA
Homo sapiens (human) is the source of this 117-nucleotide non-coding RNA. It matches the Rfam family "Metazoan signal recognition particle RNA". From Rfam's summary of the family: The signal recognition particle (SRP) is a universally conserved ribonucleoprotein. The record is from Rfam. NCBI's taxonomy places the organism in Eukaryota, Metazoa, Chordata, Mammalia, Primates, Hominidae.